RNAcentral lists this long non-coding RNA (1072 nucleotides) under Lathyrus oleraceus (garden pea). RNAcentral's name for it is "Pisum sativum (pea) long non-coding RNA (PSAT_LNC041137)". Lineage: Eukaryota; Viridiplantae; Streptophyta; Magnoliopsida; Fabales; Fabaceae. The record is from RNAcentral.
UGGUUUUGAUGAGUGGCAUCUAAAUUGAUUAAGAAUAUAUGCCGAAUCAUUUUGUCUUUCAUAAAAUUCUGCAGUUACAUUAAUUUGUUAGAUAAACAUAUUAGUAUUUUUGUUCAUUCAAAAGAAAAAAUUGAUGAGUGGCAUCUAAAUUGAUUAAGAAUAUAUGCCGAAUCAUUUUGUCUUUCAUAAAAUUCUGCAGUUACAUUAAUUUGUUAGAUAAACAUAUUAGUAUUUUUGUUCAUUCAAAAGAAAAAAAUAUAUUUUAUAAGCUAAAAAUGAAACAUACCUGAGUGUACUGCAUUCAAUUCUGCCUUUAGAAUGUCUUUUGAAAAAGUAGAUAGAAUUAAACCAUCAGCAACCAACACUCAAGGACUCCUCAACCUCAUAAACACAUGUUCUUAACAACCUCAACAACCAUGUUCAACUAUAACAACACCAUAAUCAUAGAAAACAUGGUUAACUCAUGAUUCAUGGGAAUAUUUCAUGAAUAACUUAUAUUGUUAUGAAUAUAUGUGAUUAACCUCCAUAUCUUCAACAAUAAAACACAUCAAAAUUAAACACCCAAGUAUCACAAUUUCAACAACAACAACAUGAUAUCAACACAUAGCAUGGAUGAGGAGUAUGAACACAACAAGUUAUGUUAUGAAUUCAUGUGAUUACCCUCCAUAUCUUCAACAAUAAAACACAUCAAAAUUAAACACCCAAGUAUCACAAUUUCAACAACAACAACAUAAUAUCAACACAUAGCAUGGAUGAGGAGUAUGACCACAACAAGUUCAUCACAAAUUCACACAAAUCCUACCCCCUAAACAUAGGUUAUUUUCCCCCAAAGGCUAAAUCUAUCUAAGAACUCACCUAGUAGAAGAAUAAGAUGAAGUUGGUGAGGAUGAUGAGUAGAAAAUGGUGAUGAUUAGUUUUUCCUUUUCUCCUCCAAGCCUUUCUUCCUUCUUUCUCUCUUCUUCUUUCUUCUCUUUUCCUCUUCUCUACUCUUCCCUUUCUUCUUUUCUUUCUUUCUGAUAACUCUUUUUCUCUUACUACCUACUCUUCUUAUCCUUUUCUUUCUCUUUCUCUU